UACGAAGGGGGCUAGCGUUGUUCGGAGUUACUGGGCGUAAAGGGCGCGUAGGCGGCGCACCAAGUCAGGCGUGAAAGCCCUGGGCUCAACCCGGGAAUUGCGCUUGAGACUGGUGUGCUUGAGUACGGGAGAGGAUAGUGGAAUUCCCAGUGUAGAGGUGAAAUUCGUAGAUAUUGGGAAGAACACCGGUGGCGAAGGCGGCUCUCUGGACCGAGACUGACGCUGAGGCGCGAAAGCGUGGGGAGCAAACAGG
This 253-nucleotide ribosomal RNA is filed under the name uncultured bacterium. RNAcentral's name for it is "partial 16S ribosomal RNA". It matches the Rfam family "Bacterial small subunit ribosomal RNA", at positions 524 to 776 of the family's 1533-position model. The record is from RNAcentral.